RNAcentral lists this ribosomal RNA (734 nucleotides) under uncultured bacterium. Its description in RNAcentral is "bacterial SSU rRNA". It matches the Rfam family "Bacterial small subunit ribosomal RNA", at positions 1 to 752 of the family's 1533-position model. The record is from RNAcentral.
UGAGUUUGAUCCUGGCUCAGGACGAACGCUGGCGGCGUGCUUAACACAUGCAAGUCAAGGGGGCCCAGCAAUGGGCAACCGGCGAACGGGUGCGUAACACGUGAGCAACCUUCCGAAAUAUGGGGGAUAGCCGGCCUAACGGCCGAGUAAUACCGCAUACGCUCUCGAUGAGGCAUUUCAUUGAGAGGAAACCUACGGGGUAUUUUGAGGGGCUCGCGGCCUAUCAGCUAGUUGGCGAGGUAACGGCUCACCAAGGCAACGACGGGUAGCUGGUCUGAGAGGAUGGCCAGCCACAUUGGGACUGAGAUACGGCCCAGACUCCUACGGGAGGCAGCAGUGGGGAAUCUUGCGCAAUGGCCUAACGGCUGACGCAGCGACGCCGCGUGUGGGAUGAAGCUCUUCGGAGUGUAAACCACUGUUGCCCGGGACGAAUGGCUCGAUUAAUCGAGCCUGACAGUACCGGGUGAGGAAGCACCGGCUAACUCCGUGCCAGCAGCCGCGGUAAUACGGGGGGUGCGAGCGUUGUCCGGAAUCACUGGGCGUAAAGGGCGCGUAGGUGGUUUGAUAAGGGUGUGGUGAAAGUCCGGGGCUCAACCCCGGAUCUGCCGUGCCGACUGUCAAACUCGAGGACUGUAGAGGCAGACGGAAUUCCGGGUGUAGCGGUGGAAUGCGUAGAGAUCCGGAGGAAGACCGGUGGCGAAGGCGGUCUGCUGGGCAGUUUCUGACACUGAGGC